RNAcentral lists this ribosomal RNA (253 nucleotides) under uncultured bacterium. RNAcentral describes it as "partial 16S ribosomal RNA". It matches the Rfam family "Bacterial small subunit ribosomal RNA", at positions 524 to 776 of the family's 1533-position model. The record is from RNAcentral.
UACGGAGGGUGCAAACGUUGCUCGGAAUCAUUGGGCGUAAAGCGCGCGUAGGCGGUCCGAUAAGUCGGAUGUGAAAUCCCUCGGCUCAACCGAGGAAGGGCAUCCGAAACUGCCGGGCUUGAGUACGGAAGAGGGUCUCGGAAUUCCCGGUGUAGAGGUGAAAUUCGUAGAUAUCGGGAGGAACACCAGUGGCGAAGGCGGAGACCUGGGCCGAUACUGACGCUGAGGUGCGAAAGCGUGGGGAGCAAACAGG